UUAACACAUGCAAGUCGAGGGGCAGCACGGGAGUAGACAAUACAACGUGGUGGCGACCGGCGCACGGGUGAGUAACGCGUAUGCAACCUACCUAUCAGAGGGGAAUAACCCGGCGAAAGUCGGACUAAUACCGCAUAAAACAGGGGCACCGCAUGGUGAUAUUUGUUAAAGAAAUUCGCUGAUAGAUGGGCAUGCGUUCCAUUAGGUAGUUGGUGAGGUAACGGCUCACCAAGCCGACGAUGGAUAGGGGAACUGAGAGGUUGGUCCCCCACACUGGUACUGAGACACGGACCAGACUCCUACGGGAGGCAGCAGUGAGGAAUAUUGGUCAAUGGGCGGGAGCCUGAACCAGCCAAGUCGCCGUGAAGGAAGAAGGAUCUAUGGUUCGUAAACUUCUUUUGCAGGGGAAUAAAGUGCAGGACGUGUCCUGUUUUGUAUGUACCCUGAGAAUAAGGAUCGGCUAACUCCGUGCCAGCAGCCGC
Molecule: ribosomal RNA, 482 nt
Filed under: uncultured bacterium
Lineage: Bacteria
Description: bacterial SSU rRNA
Rfam family: Bacterial small subunit ribosomal RNA
Source: RNAcentral